GAUAAUAAUAAUAAAUGAGACCGCGCGCGUACCAUACUGUGCGGUACGACAACAAAUAACACGUAGUUGUGACAUUGGCCAGCCGCGAUUACAGUACGUGUAUUAUAAUGAAAACAAACAGGAAAGGCCGCGGUAUUAUGAUUAUUUUUAUUUUUUUCUUUCCCCCGUCGCGUCGCAACCGAUAACGCUCGUGUUAUUAUUAUUGUUAUCGUCCCACAUGAUGCGCCGAGCCAACAGCGGGUCGAGGAGAAAUAGAAGUGGUAACCGAUAACGUUCGUAAAUAAUAAUAUUGUGCAAAUCGUCGACUCGCCGCCGUGGUCGGGGAACGUAUAAAACGGAUUCGCGGACGGGUGGCCGCGUGCACUUAACGCGCGUACUAGCUAGUGGACCGGAUCAUCAGGUAUCGUCGUCCACAUCACGUCCUGCGAGAUCGUCACGCGGCGGCCAUAGGACAGUCACGAUGACGUGUUCCCGUCGUUCUCCGGGGUCGCUGGCCCUUUUCUCGGUCCUCUGCGCGCUGAUAUCCGUCCGAGCGGUCCCGCACGGCGGUCUGACGGUGACCGCGGCCGAUCGGAACGCCACUGCAGCCGGCCGGACCACCACGGACCACCACCACCAUCACCGUCGCGGACGGCAGAACGCAUUUACUAGCAAUAGAUUUAAUUUUCUUGAACGAAUAAGGAAUGCAAGUCGAGUAUGAAAUGAAUAGAAAUUGAAAGAUAUGAUAUUGGACCAAUUGCAAAAAUAUAUUUAAAACCACAUGAUUUGAUGAAUAUUUUCGUGGGUAAAUAUUAUAUUAUAAUAAACUAAUUAAUAUUGAAACGUAAUUUAUGUUACUUGUUUAUUUUACCUAUUAAUUUCAAAAUGAUUUAUCUAAUGAGUAUUAUAGUUAUGAAACAACAACUAAAAAAAAAACAAAGACAAAUAUUGGAAUAUACUCGUACACUAAAUCAAAUAUUUUGAUGAAUACAGCUUCUAGGUGAUCAUCAACGUCAUUCAUAUACGAUGAUGUUAUAAUAUUCGGUACAUUCAAGAUCGGCAUUUCAUUGUACUUUGUUUACACUUAAAUAACGAUUCUAUUUCGACUUUGAUACUUGUAUAUGUAAAUAUAUUUUGGUGAAAAUUGUAUCUGCCUGUAGUGUUACACGAUUUAUUUCUUAUUUAAGCGAAUAUAUAUUAUUUUCAUUUUAA
Molecule: long non-coding RNA, 1191 nt
Organism: Sipha flava (yellow sugarcane aphid)
Lineage: Eukaryota; Metazoa; Arthropoda; Insecta; Hemiptera; Aphididae
Exons: 2
Source: RefSeq, a predicted model, not a curated record